This 75-nucleotide transfer RNA is filed under the name Candidatus Methanolliviera sp. GoM_asphalt. RNAcentral describes it as "tRNA-Glu". It matches the Rfam family "tRNA". From Rfam's summary of the family: Transfer RNA (tRNA) molecules are approximately 80 nucleotides in length. Their secondary structure includes four short double-helical elements and three loops (D, anti-codon, and T loops). The record is from RNAcentral. Lineage: Archaea; Methanobacteriati; Methanobacteriota; Candidatus Methanoliparia; Candidatus Methanoliparales; Candidatus Methanollivieraceae.
GCUCCGGUAGUGUAGCUCGGUCAAUCAUGUGGGGCUCUCAAUCCCACGACACGGGUUCAAAUCCCGUCCGGAGCA